AUUUAAAUAGUUUAAUAAAAAUAUUAAUUUGUGGAAUUAAAGAUGUAGGUUUUACUUUAGAUA
Molecule: transfer RNA, 63 nt
Filed under: Carpelimus fuliginosus
Lineage: Eukaryota; Metazoa; Arthropoda; Insecta; Coleoptera; Staphylinidae
Description: tRNA-His
Source: RNAcentral